Molecule: ribosomal RNA, 260 nt
Filed under: unidentified marine bacterioplankton
Lineage: Bacteria
Description: partial 16S ribosomal RNA
Rfam family: Bacterial small subunit ribosomal RNA
Source: RNAcentral
CUAUAAUUGUCAGCUAAGUGGCGCACGGGUGAGUAAUAUAUAGGGUAACGUGCCCUAGAGAAGAGGAUAACAAUUGGAAACGAUUGCUAAGACUCUAUAUGCCUUUAAGACUUAAGUCUGCAAGGGAAAUAUUUAUAGCUCUAGGAUCGGCCUGUACGGUAUCAGUUAGUUGGUGAGGUAAUGGCUCACCAAGACUAUGACACCUAACUGGUUUGAGAGGAUGAUCAGUCACACUGGAACUGAGACACGGUCCAGACUCC